RNAcentral lists this ribosomal RNA (254 nucleotides) under uncultured bacterium. Its description in RNAcentral is "partial 16S ribosomal RNA". It matches the Rfam family "Bacterial small subunit ribosomal RNA", at positions 524 to 776 of the family's 1533-position model. The record is from RNAcentral.
UACGGGGGGGGCAAGCGUUGUUCGGAAUUACUGGGCGUAAAGCGUGCGCAGGCGGUCUGUUAAGACCGAUGUGAAAUCCCCGGGCUUAACCUGGGAACUGCAUUGGUGACUGGCAGGCUUUGAGUGUGGCAGAGGGAGGUGGAAUUCCACGUGUAGCAGUGAAAUGCGUAGAGAUGUGGAGGAAUACCGAUGGCGAAGGCAGCCUCCUGGGCCAACACUGACGCUCAUGCACGAAAGCGUGGGGAGCAAACAGG